UAGGGAAUCUUCCGCAAUGGGCGAAAGCCUGACGGAGCAACGCCGCGUGAGUGAUGAAGGUCUUCGGAUCGUAAAACUCUGUUAUUAGGGAAGAACAAAUGUGUAAGUAACUAUGCACGUCUUGACGGUACCUAAUCAGAAAGCCACGGCUAACUACGUGCCAGCAGCCGCGGUAAUACGUAGGUGGCAAGCGUUAUCCGGAAUUAUUGGGCGUAAAGCGCGCGUAGGCGGCUUUUUAAGUCUGAUGUGAAAGCCCACGGCUCAACCGUGGAGGGUAAUUGGAAACUGGAAAACUUGAGUGCAGAAGAGGAAAGUGGAAUUCCAUGGGUAGCGGUGAAAUGCGCAGAGAUAUGGAGGAACACCAGUGGCGAAGGCGACUUUCUGGUCUGUAACUGACGCUGAUGUGCGAAAGCGGGGGGAUCAAACAGG
RNAcentral lists this ribosomal RNA (429 nucleotides) under Actinomycetes bacterium. RNAcentral's name for it is "Actinobacteria bacterium partial 16S ribosomal RNA". It matches the Rfam family "Bacterial small subunit ribosomal RNA", at positions 355 to 776 of the family's 1533-position model. Lineage: Bacteria; Bacillati; Actinomycetota; Actinomycetes. The record is from RNAcentral.